This 253-nucleotide ribosomal RNA is filed under the name uncultured bacterium. Its description in RNAcentral is "partial 16S ribosomal RNA". It matches the Rfam family "Bacterial small subunit ribosomal RNA", at positions 524 to 776 of the family's 1533-position model. The record is from RNAcentral.
UACGGAGGGAGCUAGCGUUGUUCGGAAUUACUGGGCGUAAAGCGCGCGUAGGCGGCUUUGUAAGUUAGAGGUGAAAGCCCGGAGCUCAACUCCGGAACUGCCUUUAAAACUGCAUCGCUUGAAUCCAGGAGAGGUGAGUGGAAUUCCGAGUGUAGAGGUGAAAUUCGUAGAUAUUCGGAAGAACACCAGUGGCGAAGGCGGCUCACUGGACGACUGUUGACGCUGAGGUGCGAAAGCGUGGGGAGCAAACAGG